CAUCCUCGUAACGCCGCGCUGGGCAUGCACCGCCAUCGGACAUAGUGAGAAAGCCGUGCGGAAGAAGCAUACUCUUCACGACCACAUUUUUCGCGUGACCGUUGGAUUGUACCCGUUCCAGAUAACAAAAAAUUAAUGCAUGGUAUUGCAUGCAAACGUACGUACGCUGUGAGAAAUUAUUCACCGUGGAUUAUUAAUAAAUUUUUUUCCUUUGAUUACCGUAUAAUAACAACACGGCUACCUAUAAUUCCUACCCCA
Molecule: long non-coding RNA, 258 nt
Filed under: Phoenix dactylifera (date palm)
Lineage: Eukaryota; Viridiplantae; Streptophyta; Magnoliopsida; Arecales; Arecaceae
Description: long non-coding RNA (PDAC_LNC000381)
Source: RNAcentral